This 514-nucleotide ribosomal RNA is filed under the name uncultured bacterium. Its description in RNAcentral is "partial 16S ribosomal RNA". It matches the Rfam family "Bacterial small subunit ribosomal RNA", at positions 28 to 523 of the family's 1533-position model. The record is from RNAcentral.
GAUGAACGCUGGCGGCGUGCCUAAUACAUGCAAGUCGAGCGAAUGGAUUAAGAGCUUGCUCUAUGAAGUUAGCGGCGGACGGGUGAGUAACACGUGGGUAACCUGCCCAUAAGACUGGGAUAACUCCGGGAAACCGGGGCUAAUACCGGAUAACAUUUUGAACCGCAUGGUUCGAAAUUGAAAGGCGGCUUCGGCUGUCACUUAUGGAUGGACCCGCGUCGCAUUAGCUAGUUGGUGAGGUAACGGCUCACCAAGGCAACGAUGCGUAGCCGACCUGCGCGGGUGAUCGACCACACUGGGACGGAGACACGGCCCAGGUUCCUACGAGAGGCAGCAGUAGGGAAUCUUCCGCAAUCGACGAGAGUCUGACGGAGCAACGCCGCGUGAGUGGUGAAGGCUUUCGGGUCGUAAAACUCUGUUGUUAGGGAAGAACAAGUGCUAGUUGAAUAAGCUGGCACCUUGACGGUACCUAACCAGAAAGCCACGGCUAACUACGUGCCAGCCGCCGCGGUAA